Molecule: ribosomal RNA, 253 nt
Filed under: Flintibacter butyricus
Lineage: Bacteria; Bacillati; Bacillota; Clostridia; Eubacteriales
Description: partial 16S ribosomal RNA
Rfam family: Bacterial small subunit ribosomal RNA
Source: RNAcentral
UACGUAGGUGGCAAGCGUUAUCCGGAUUUACUGGGUGUAAAGGGCGUGUAGGCGGGAUCGCAAGUCAGAUGUGAAAACUGGAGGCUCAACCUCCGGCCUGCAUUUGAAACUGUGGUUCUUGAGUACUGGAGAGGCAGACGGAAUUCCUAGUGUAGCGGUGAAAUGCGUAGAUAUUAGGAGGAACACCAGUGGCGAAGGCGGUCUGCUGGACAGCAACUGACGCUGAGGCGCGAAAGCGUGGGGAGCAAACAGG